GACGAACGCUGGCGGCGUGCUUAACACAUGCAAGUCGAACGAUGAAGAAGAGCUUGCUCUUCGGAUUAGUGGCGAACGGGUGAGUAACACGUGACUAACCUGCCCCUUUCUCUGGGAUAACGCUCCGAAAGGAGUGCUAAUACCGGAUACUCACAUCGAGGCACAUGCCUUGAUGUGGAAAGUUUUUCGGAAAGGGAUGGAGUCGCGGCCUAUCAGCUUGUUGGUGAGGUAACGGCUCACCAAGGCGACGACGGGUAGCCGGCCUGAGAGGGCGACCGGCCACACGGGGACUGAGACACGGCCCAGACUCCUACGGGAGGCAGCAGUGGGGAAUAUUGCACAAUGGGCGAAAGCCUGAUGCAGCGACGCCGCGUGGGGGAUGAAGGUCUUCGGAUUGUAAACCUCUUUCAGUAGGGACGAAGCGAAAGUGACGGUACCUAAAGAAGAAGCACCGGCUAACUACGUGCCAGCCGCCGCCGUAA
This 482-nucleotide ribosomal RNA is filed under the name uncultured bacterium. RNAcentral's name for it is "partial 16S ribosomal RNA". It matches the Rfam family "Bacterial small subunit ribosomal RNA", at positions 28 to 523 of the family's 1533-position model. The record is from RNAcentral.